CAAAUUGGGGAUAACCCGCCGAAAGGCGGGCUAAUACCGAAUGAUAUCUUGAGAACUUAUGUUUUUAGGAUCAAAGGUGGCCUCUACAUGUAAGCUAUUGUUUGAGGAUGAGCCCGCGUACCAUUAGCUUGUUGGUAGGGUAAUGGCCUACCAAGGCUGCGAUGGUUAGCUGGUCUGAGAGGAUGAUCAGCCACACUGGAACUGACACACGGUCCAGACUCCUACGGGAGGCAGCAGUGAGGAAUUUUGCGCAAUGGGGGAAACCCUGACGCAGCAACGCCGCGUGAGUGAUGAAGGCUUUCGGGUCGUAAAGCUCUGUCAAGUGGGAAGAACUCAUAUGGUGUUAAUAUCGCCAUGUGCUGACGGUACCACUGAAGGAAGCACCGGCUAACUCCGUGCCAGCAGCCGCGGUAAUACGGGGGGUGCGAGCGUUAUUCGGAAUUACUGGGCGUAAAGAGCGCGUAGGCGGUCUUUUAAGUCAGGUGUGAAAGCCCGGGGCUCAACCCCGGAAGUGCACUUGAAACUAAGAGACUUGAGUAUGGGAGAGGGAAGUGGAAUUCCUGGUGUAGCGGUGAAAUGCGUAGAUACCAGGAGGAACAUCAGUGGCGAAGGCGACUUCCUGGACCAAUACUGACGCUGAGGCGCGAAGGCGUGGGGAGCAAACAGGAUUAGAUACCCUGGUAGUCCACGCAGUAAACGGUGAACACUAGGUGUAGCGGGUAUUGACCCCUGCUGUGCCGCAGCAAACGCAUUAAGUGUUCCGCCUGGGGAGUACGGCCGCAAGGUUAAAACUCAAAGGAAUUGACGG
RNAcentral lists this ribosomal RNA (808 nucleotides) under uncultured delta proteobacterium. RNAcentral's name for it is "bacterial SSU rRNA". It matches the Rfam family "Bacterial small subunit ribosomal RNA", at positions 133 to 916 of the family's 1533-position model. Lineage: Bacteria; Deltaproteobacteria. The record is from RNAcentral.